GAUGAACGCUGGCGGCGUGCCUAAUACAUGCAAGUCGAGCGAACGGACGAGAAGCUUGCUUCUCUGAUGUUAGCGGCGGACGGGUGAGUAACACGUGGAUAACCUACCUAUAAGACUGGGAUAACUUCGGGAAACCGUAGCUAAUACCGGAUAAUAUUUUGAACCGCAUGGUUCAAAAGUGAAAGACGGUCUUGCUGUCACUUAUAGAUGGAUCCGCGCUGCAUUAGCUAGUUGGUAAGGUAACGGCUUACCAAGGCAACGAUGCAUAGCCGACCUGAGAGGGUGAUCAGCCACACUGGAACUGAGACACGGUCCAGACUCCUACGGGAGGCAGCAGUAGGGAAUCUUCCGCAAUGGGCGAAAGCCUGACGGAGCAACGCCGCGUGAGUGAUGAAGGUCUUCGGAUCGUAAAGCUCUGUUAUUAGGGAAGAACAUAUGUGUAAGUAACUGUGCACAUCUUGACGGUACCUAAUCAGAAAGCAACGGCUAACUACGUG
This 497-nucleotide ribosomal RNA is filed under the name uncultured bacterium. RNAcentral describes it as "partial 16S ribosomal RNA". It matches the Rfam family "Bacterial small subunit ribosomal RNA", at positions 28 to 507 of the family's 1533-position model. The record is from RNAcentral.